GAGGAUGGGUGCCUGGCACUGGUUUUUCCAAAUUAAAUGGUUACUUGCAGCAAACACUCUCAGGAUACAAUAUCCAUUUUCUCUUUUUCCCAACUUAGAAGUCUCCAAUUUGUAUUUAACUACAAAGCUACAUUUUCAAUCUUUUUUGAAUUAAGAGUUGCCACGUGACAGAGUCUAGCUAAUAAGAUAGAAAUAAAGGUCACGGCGGGGCGGUGGGGCGGCGGGGGCGGGAGGAGGUUCUAGAAAAGAGCACAGAUGCACCUGGCACAUACUAUUCAAAGUGUGGUCAGCAGACCUUAGAAAUACAAAGCUGCAGAUUUAUUGAAUCAAAAUCUGCAUUUUAAUGAGAUUCUCAGGUGAUUCACGUGCAUGUGAGAGUUUUGCCCUUCCCCUUCCUUCUUCUUGGUACAUAGACAUGUGGAGAUGGAAGAGCUUUUUGUGACCCUGAGGCAUCAAACCACACGCUGAGAAUAGCUGUACAGAAGGAGUUCAAAGCAGCUCCCAACUGCCUACGUCCAGACCUCACUUACACAGUGACCUGAGAUGUAAGCGGCAUGGUAGAUUUGAGAUACCACGGGAUCCACAUUCAGCCCUGUUCGGACUACGAUAUCCCACAUUCCUGAGCAGAGGUGACUGCAUUAGGAGUCAGCACUUGAUACAGACUGAGGUGAGCAGUUUCCCUUUUCCAAGAAUUUGGAGUUGUGAGCAAGGUAAAGGUGUCAGUCCUUGGAAGGACCUAGAACUGCAAUAUGUCAAUUUAGGAGCUGAGAGGAAAAUGCAUUUCAUCAUUGGACGUAUGCAAAAUGCAAAAUCUGCAAAAUGCAAAAAUCUGACCGGGGGAGGGAAUGUUAAAAGAAAAAUGACACUUACUAAAGAAUGGUAAGGCAUCCUAUUCGGGGCCAUCACCAUAGGUGUAGGGACCACUGCAGGGGGUUCUGCAGUUGGGGAGAGAGAUUGGGCUCAACUGAGAAUUCAACAAGGAAAAGGGGGUUUGUAGCCAAAGAACAGGGUAGAGGGUCAGUGGAUGGAAACUUACUAAGAGGAAACAGCAGGGUAAGGAGACAUUCUUGCUGAACUGACUUAACAGGAUUCUUGCUGAAGACAGGUCAGGGUGCUCACACAUCACCUAGUGGGUGGGGGGUUGCGGAGAGGAUAAGGAGCCUGUUCAGUGAUAGAGGGUGAGGGAUUUUGGUUAAAAUGACCUAGCAGGAUUCUUGCUAAAAUGGGACAAUGCAGACAUAAACACAGAAGCCUAAAAUCAGGGCUUAGUUGAGAAGAGAGUUCAGGGAAAUCUGAGUAGAGUUUGGUCAAGGAGAGAAACUUAGGAGAGAGGGAAGGAGAGAGAGAGAGAUUGAAGGUAAACAUCCAGAAAGAGUUGGUACCGAUGGUUUUUUUCAGUGCUGAGGUACAAUUUGGCUCCCGGACAAAUGAUGACCUAGCUCCUGCAUUCAUAAGAU
RNAcentral lists this long non-coding RNA (1457 nucleotides) under Papio anubis (olive baboon). RNAcentral's name for it is "lncRNA (ENSPANG00000044551.1)". The record is from RNAcentral. Lineage: Eukaryota; Metazoa; Chordata; Mammalia; Primates; Cercopithecidae.